Molecule: ribosomal RNA, 408 nt
Filed under: uncultured bacterium
Lineage: Bacteria
Description: partial 16S ribosomal RNA
Rfam family: Bacterial small subunit ribosomal RNA
Source: RNAcentral
GACGAACGCUGGCGGCGUGCUUAACACAUGCAAGUAGAACGAAGUGGCGAACGGGCGCCUAAUACGUGGGUAACCUGCCCUCCCUUUUGGGAUAUGCCUUGGAAACGGGGUAUAAUACCGAAUUAAGGGGGGUGGGCCCGCGGCCUACCAGCUUGUUGGUGGGGUGGUGGCCUACCAAGGGGGUGACGGGUAGCCGGCCCGAGAGGGUGCCCGGCCACAUUGGGACUGAGAUACGGCCCAGAAUCCUACGGAAGGCAGCAGUUGGGGCUAAUGCACAAUGGGCGAAAGCCUGAUGCAGCGACGCCGCGUGGGGGAUGAAGGCUUUCGGGUUGUAGACCUCUGUCGCUAUCGAACGGGUAGGUUGAGAAGAAGCGCCGGCUAACUACGUGCCAGCAGCCGCGGUAAUUC